GUAGGUGGCAAGCGUUGUCCGGAAUUAUUGGGCGUAAAGCGCGCGCAGGGCGGUCCUUUAAGUCUGAUGUGAAAGCCCACGGCUCAACCGUGGAGGGUCAUUGGAAACUGGGGGACUUGAGUACAGAAGAGGAAAGCGGAAUUCCACGUGUAGCGGUGAAAUGCGUAGAGAUGUGGAGGAACACCAGUGGCGAAGGCGGCUUUCUGGUCUGUAACUGACGCUGAGGCGCGAAAGCGUGGGGAGCAAACAGGAUUAGAUACCCUGGUAGUCCACGCCGUAAACGAUGAGUGCUAAGUGUUAGGGGGUUUCCGCCCCUUAGUGCUGCAGCUAACGCAUUAAGCACUCCGCCUGGGGAGUACGGCCGCAAGGCUG
Molecule: ribosomal RNA, 372 nt
Filed under: uncultured organism
Description: partial 16S ribosomal RNA
Rfam family: Bacterial small subunit ribosomal RNA
Source: RNAcentral